GAUGAACGCUGGCGGCGUGCCUAAUACAUGCAAGUCGAGCGAACGGACGAGAAGCUUGCUUCUCUGAUGUUAGCGGCGGACGGGUGAGUAACACGUGGAUAACCUACCUAUAAGACUGGGAUAACUUCGGGAAACCGUAGCUAAUACCGGAUAAUAUUUUGAACCGCAUGGUUCAAAAGUGAAAGACGGUCUUGCUGUCACUUAUAGAUGGAUCCGCGCUGCAUUAGCUAGUUGGUAAGGUAACGGCUUACCAAGGCAACGAUGCAUAGCCGACCUGAGAGGGUGAUCGGCCACACUGGAACUGAGACACGGUCCUGACUCCUACGGUAGGCAGCAGUAGGGAAUCUUCCGCAAUGGGCGAAAGCCUGACGGAGCAACGCCGCGUGAGUGAUGAAGGUCUUCGGAUCGUAAAACUCUGUUAUUAGGGAAGAACAUAUGUGUAAGUAACUGUGCACAUCUUGACGGUACCUAAUCAGAAAGCCACGGCUAACUACGUG
This 497-nucleotide ribosomal RNA is filed under the name uncultured bacterium. RNAcentral's name for it is "partial 16S ribosomal RNA". It matches the Rfam family "Bacterial small subunit ribosomal RNA", at positions 28 to 507 of the family's 1533-position model. The record is from RNAcentral.